GUCCAGAUUUGUUGGCCAAACUUUCGGCAGCCUAACAACAGUCAGAUGAGUAAACAGUUUUCCAAUUGCAAGAAAACUUUCCAUUUGCCCGAGAAAGGCAAACAUUCUUCGCCUGUGAUCACAGGAUCAUGCAGUGCCUGGAAAAGUUUUUCGGUUUCCGAAAACAGGAUACAUUAGCCCCUAGAAGGCAGCGUCUAAUUGCUUUGGCCACAAAUCAACAAAUCUUCGUCUUACCUGAAAGUGUGGAAUUUAUGGCAACAUCUGCAGAUUCUUCGGCGCUUUGGCGGCCAUAAAAUCAUUUUGCGGUCACUGAGCAGCGUGGAAAUGGGAAAAACUGGGCGGAAAGUGGGCGAAAAGUGUCGCUCUUUAAAGCGAAAUAAGAAAUUUAUGAAGUUCCAACCCGAUGUUCCCUUAUUCUGGACGACGACACGUACUCUCAAUCCCAGUCACAAUUUUCCAGCUGGUCUUGUUUCUGGGCCACAUCUAAUUCAUUUGGGAAAGUUAUUUAUUGUAUUAUUUACCACUUGAGCCCGAAACUUUGUCAAUUGUUUGUGUUUGCCGACCAGAAAGUUUGUGCCAAAGACACCAGGAAUAUCUGCCUUUGAAUAUCUGGUUUCUUUUUUU
Non-coding RNA from Drosophila melanogaster (fruit fly), 624 nucleotides. The record is from Ensembl. Lineage: Eukaryota; Metazoa; Arthropoda; Insecta; Diptera; Drosophilidae.